GACGAACGCUGGCGGCGUGCUUAACACAUGCAAGUCGAGCGGAAAGGCCCUUUCGGGGGUACUCGAGCGGCGAACGGGUGAGUAACACGUGAGUAAUCUGCCCCUGGCUUUGGGAUAGCCACCGGAAACGGUGAUUAAUACCGGAUACGACCACUUCUCGCAUGGGAUGGUGGUGGAAAGUUUUUCGGCCAGGGAUGUGCUCGCGGCCUAUCAGCUUGAUGGUGAGGUAAUGGCUCACCAUGGCUUCGACGGGUAGCCGGCCUGAGAGGGUGACCGGUUACGCUGGGACUGAGACACGGCCCAGACUGCGACGGGAGGCAGCAGUGGGGAAUACUGGACAAUGGGCGGAAGCCUGAUCCAGCAACGCCGCGUGAGGGAUGACGGCCUUCGGGUUGUAAACCUCUUUCAGCAGGGACGAAGCGCAAGUGACGGUACCUGCAGAAGAAGCACCGGCCAGCUACGUGCCAGCAGCCGCCGCCG
Molecule: ribosomal RNA, 480 nt
Filed under: uncultured bacterium
Lineage: Bacteria
Description: partial 16S ribosomal RNA
Rfam family: Bacterial small subunit ribosomal RNA
Source: RNAcentral